GACGAACGCUGGCGGCGUGCUUAACACAUGCAAGUCGAACGGAAAGGCCCUGCUUUUGUGGGGUGCUCGAGUGGCGAACGGGUGAGUAACACGUGAGUAACCUGCCCUUGACUUUGGGAUAACUUCAGGAAACUGGGGCUAAUACCGGAUAGGAGCUCCUGCUGCAUGGUGGGGGUUGGAAAGUUUCGGCGGUUGUGGAUUGACUCGCGGCUUAUCAGCUUGUUUGUGGGGUAGUGGCUUACCAAGGCUUUGACGGGUAGCCGGCAUGAGAGGGUGACCGGCCACAUUGGGACUGAGAUACGGCCCAGACUCCUACGGGAGGCAGCAGUGGGGAAUAUUGCACAAUGGGCGGAAGCCUGAUGCAGCAACGCCGCGUGCGGGAUGACGGCCUUCGGGUUGUAAACCGAUUUCGCCUGUGACGAAGCGUGAGUGACGGUAAUGGGUAAAGAAGCACCGGCUAACUACGUG
Molecule: ribosomal RNA, 468 nt
Filed under: uncultured bacterium
Lineage: Bacteria
Description: partial 16S ribosomal RNA
Rfam family: Bacterial small subunit ribosomal RNA
Source: RNAcentral